GAGAUCAUGACCUGAGCAGAAGCUGGAUGCUUAACCAACUGGGCCACCCAGGCGCCCCAUAAAAGCAUUUUUAAGAGCGCACACCUCUUCACCGGGACAAAGAGACCAUGUGAGGAGCUCACAGCAGAUGAGAGCAGUCCAUCAAAUUCUAGAAGCUGGAAAACAGAUGGUGAGUGGGGGCUGACUUAAGACACCAGAAAGUUGGAACCUGACUGUUCAGGGGAGGCAUCAGGACACAAGACCCCCAACUGGAGACCCUCAGAAAGGCUCAGGAGUGAGAGACCAGGCGUCUCCAAAGACCGAGGCAUGGGGGAGGACUGAAGACAGGUGCGCAGUUAUCCGUCCGGCAGACUCCUAAGUCUCCUCCCCAGCCGGCACAGGCGGGACAGGACCCCCUGCCCCGCAGCCGGCGGCUCACCCACCACGGAGCCCGGAAGACGCUGAUCUGAAGUAAUGUUCGCAGGGGGCUCAGCGCAGAGCCUGGACCGUAGCAGGUCCUCCGGAGUUGUUGCUCUCCUUACAUUCAGCUGCCCUCCUUCAGUCUUGUUCUCUUAUUUUCUUCUCUUGGUCACACAGAGCCGUCCGAUGUCUUUAAUCUGAGGCCUGGGAGUGGCAGCCUGGCCACACCACACUACCCAUCCACACACUCCCCUCACACAUCACGCUCUUUGAUGCGGCCCAAAUGGCUCAUUGCCUCCUCUUUUUGAGCAGGUGAGCCUCGCUUUUUAGCUAGCUAGAAGGCUAUAAGCAUUGCCUCCCAGUUCUAAGCAUUUCUCAGUCUUCUUUUCAAUUAGGUAUGGCCAUUUGACUGUAAGCGUGGAAGUGUCGUGAGGAAAUCAGAAAUUAUCUUUCAAAGAGGAGAGCUCUUCCUUCUGUCUUGGGCUGCAGAUGUGAUGGCCUGUGCUCCAGCAGCCAUGCUGGACAGUGAGGAUAAAGGCCACACAUAGUGAAAGCAGAACAGGGAGAUCAAAGGAGCCAUUUUCACAGAGUUGUCAUACUAGCCUGCAGUUGCCCAUCUUUGUACUUUUUUACUAAUGUUUAUUUUCUUUAUAUUUGGGAGGGGUGGAGGGGGAGAGAGAAUCCCAAACAGGCUCUGUGUGUGCGAUCAUCAGCUGAACUGAAAUCAAGAGUUGGAUGCUUAACUGACUGAGCCCCCAGUUGCUCCUGGACAUCUUUUACACGACAGAGAAAUAAACCUCUUUCUUGUUUUGGCUACUAUUAGUUCGGAUUUUCUGUUGUAUGCAAUGGAUCCUAAUUCCAUCUGGUUAAAUCUGAGUUAGGGCAACACCUUCCUUGUCUUCUUUCCUAUUCAGAGAUCAGAAUCAGCACAGACUUUGCUCAUUAUGAAGUCCACAGAGCCAGGGACAAAAUCUGGCCCGCAGAUGUGUUUCCUAGCUCAAAGUUUUUAAAAUUAGGAGUUUCAGGUAUACAACACAUUGAUCUGACAAUUCCAUAAAUGACUCAUGCUCACCGUGAUGAGGGACUGAGGCCCUGAGCGGACUGGCCCGGAGUCGCAGAGCUGGAAAUGGUGGAGUCAAGACUCCAGACUGUCUGCAUUCCACGCUUGCUCUGACAGAGGAAGACAAUAGAGCCAAGGAGGAAGGCAUAGUUAAUGACCCUUGUCAUAUGCUAUCGGAUUGAUGAUGCUUGUACCCCUGCUGCCCCAGGAGCAAACCAUCUAGAGGAUGGAUUUUUUCUGUAUAUAACUCAGUACCUGGCGCGGAGCCAGCCUCGGGAACUUCGUGCCAAACGAAUGAGGUGACCCACCCUCAGUCACACAGAGCCAGAUGCAGAGCCGGAUGCCUACCCAGGGCUCUUCUCCCGGACCUGGCUGCUAUCCAACCUAUCUGUGUUCCCUUAGAUACUGACAGAGGUCAAGAGCACAGACUUUGAGUCUAGCAUAUUCACACCCAAAUUCCAGCUUCAUCCCUCACCAUUCGAGCCUUGAUUUCUCCACCAGCAAAUGGGGCUAAUCAUGGAAC
Molecule: long non-coding RNA, 1982 nt
Organism: Suricata suricatta (meerkat)
Lineage: Eukaryota; Metazoa; Chordata; Mammalia; Carnivora; Herpestidae
Exons: 3
Source: RefSeq, a predicted model, not a curated record